GGCCCUUCGGGGCAUGUGCACGCCCCCCCGAAUCCGAAUCAUAAACCUGUGAACCAACGGCGGAGGAGUUGGGAUUGGGGACCUUGAAGGGCGUCGCCACGGCGAUUAAUGCUCGACGAGGGCCCCUCUCCCCGUCUCGUCUCCUGCUCAUCAUAUACUCUUAAAAGUCAUGUCUAGAAUGUCCUUUGCGUACUCUUGGUCGCAAUUGUAAUACAACUUUCAGCAACGGAUCUCUUGGCUCUCGCAUCGAUGAAGAACGCAGCGAAAUGCGAUAAGUAAUGUGAAUUGCAGAAUUCAGUGAAUCAUCGAAUCUUUGAACGCACCUUGCGCGCUCCGGUAUUCCGGAGCGCAUGCCCGUUUGAGUGUCGUGGUAUCAUCGAACCCCCCCGUUUUGCGACGGUGGUGGCUCGGACUUGGAGGUGUUGCUGGGUCUUUCUAAGGCUCGGCUCCUCUGAAAAGCAUUAGCUGGGACUUUGGUCCGAGGGCUCUGACGUGAUAGUGAUGUUGCGUCGUGGUUCGAGGGCUGCCGUGGUCGCCGCUUAUAACGGUCCGCGAGGACGAGACGGCGUUUUUACGCCUUGACCUUUGACCUCAAAU
This 597-nucleotide ribosomal RNA is filed under the name Corticiales sp. GL6-7-2. Its description in RNAcentral is "eukaryotic LSU rRNA". The stretch from base 215 to 368 matches the Rfam family "5.8S ribosomal RNA". The record is from RNAcentral. Lineage: Eukaryota; Fungi; Basidiomycota; Agaricomycetes; Corticiales.